UCACUGGGAAGCUUUGGGAGUUCUCCUAGGAGAAUCAGCAAAUCUGGGCUAGGGUAUCGAGCGCCUCGCUGUUCACAGCAGAGGGGCCCCCAAGGCAGGAGUCUCCGGAUACAGGAUUAAGACCGUGGAAUCGGAGCCACAGACGCACACCCCUCCCAGGGUCCUUGCACAGUCCAGGAGGAAGAGGAUGGUCCCCACUGCUGUCCGCAAGUAGCAUCCCCAAAGCUGGAAAAGCAUCGGGAGGUCCCCGGGAUCCACUAUGCUAACCUUCCCCCAAUUCCCAGCACCGAUCCGUCGGAGACCCAGAUGGCUUGGGUGGUCAAACUACCUGGCAGAACCAGCCACAGAGAACCCGGACCUUCUUCUAACCCAUGGGACAUGGAGAAGGUGGUGGCCGUCACUUCCCUCUCUGCCGUCUUGCCAGCAGACUUGAGUGUUGAUACGGUGAGACCCACCCCUGGCCGGGAACCUGUAGGUUGACAAGAGACUCUCAGAGAGCACCUGGGUCAACGUGCCUGCGUGGACUCCUGGCGCACAAGCCCGUGAGACGGAUGCGACAGUCCUUCCCGGACUUGAGCCAAUUGGAACUUCUCCUUCUCCAACAACCCGAUUGCUGCAGGGGAGGGCCACCUUGGAGGGGCAUGUCAAAGCCGCCCCAGGCCACCCAGAGGAAGCUUGGUCACGGGACCUGUGCGCUGGUGAUGUCCCCUGGCCGACUCCACCUCCCUGAUCUCAGUUCCUCAGCUGAGAGCUGAGAAUGUCACGAAGCUCUGAUUCCUGGACAGCGCCGACCCUAGGGACUGAGAAUUCGGGAGCGAUCAUCCGUCUCGGCUGAGCGAGGGCAGGCGGACCCCCACUUGUCUGAGUGUCUGUGAGUCCCCCGUCUCCUUUCCUUUGGAGAAUACAGAGUACUGAAUACCGAACCACCCCCUCAUGGAUCUGGCUGACCGAGGCCAGCAGACCUUGAGUGGUUCGAGGUGAGUGUCCCUCAUGUCACGACUGGGGCUCCUCCUCCCACGAUCUUGGGGUGGUUUUGUCCUUGUUUUGAACCCCGGUAGCUGUCGGCACUCCCGGCUCUGUUUCCUGAUCUGCAUCGACGGGAAAGAGCACAAGGCUCUGGUCUCUGUUGGCCUCUGAGAUCUCCAAGCUCCUGUGAGGACUGAUGCGUGGGCACGGCCAGGUUCAGAGACUGCCCAGGCCAAGAGCACUCCAGGGCCACCUGAGGCCCAGGACUGAGGACCUGAGUGACAGGGAUCAGCUGCUGGAAGCUGGUCUGUGCCGGACCUGGGGCGGGCUGUUCCCUGGGGACCCUUUCACAGGGUUCUGGGUGCCAGCCUCUGAGGCGGGUCACAUGGCCCCAGCCCACUCUCUGCCCAGGUGAGAAGACUGGGCUUCGGGAGGCACAGGUGUCGGCCCAGUCCACCCGGCUUCGGCGGCUGGCCUGGGACCUCAGGUGGGUACGGUGCCACCCCUGAUCCUGGUGAUCAACGUGCCGAGUGCGUCUCACCCCAGAUUCACUCAGCAAAGACUCGUUUUUGUCAUUGUCCAAGUUCACCCAGCUGGGAUGUGACCGGGCUUAGACCUCCCAAAGCCUGUGCCCUUCAGCACCCUCUGACCACACCCAGCUUCCGGCACAUUCCCCUGCUGCCUCCUGGCACCCUGCGUGUUAAAGCUGGGGUCUUCAGGGAGCCCCGGGAGCUCAAGUGUGGAAAGGUGGGUGUCCCUCCCGCCCCCCACUCCCCAGCCUGCCACCAGGAGGUGGUGGAGAAUGCAGGAGGCGGGGGCUCAUUGGAGGAGGAAGGAUAUGUCUGAGGGGGUGCUGGGACCCUGCCCGGCCUCUCUCUCUCUCUCUCUCUCUGCUUCUGUACCCCAUGUGCUGAGCUGUGUCCUUCCGCCCCGAUGCCCUGCCUCACCAUGAGCCCAGAAAUGAGGACCCAGUGACCACGGCUGGCAGCCCGUGAGUCCGACAGACCUGUCCUUCUUGAAGUCGCUCGCUUGGGUUCGUCCUGGUGAUGCAAAGCUGUCACUCGGUAUCUCUGUGCCAUCGCACUAGACAGAGCCGGGACAUUGUAUCGGACUUUCUGAUGUGAAGAUCUAUCUGCCUUACUAUGCUGUGUGCUUUUAAGGGGAGGGAGCACCUCUCUGUUUUGUUCAGGAAACACCCGCGGGCUGAACAAGUUGUGCCGAGUUUUCUCUUCCUGAAUCACUGUGGGUUCUAGGAGUUGGGAAAAGUGGCCUUUCCCAUCAGGAAUCCCCUGAGACUAAUCAAUGUCAGUCAGACCAGCUUGGAAUCGACCGCCCACCCAUGUGAAUCCUUUUGGAACCUCUCAACAGAUGUCGCCUUCACCGAGUUGAUUUUCACAAGGUCUUAAAAUGGGAUCCAGGCAUCAGGUCAAAAUAUCAGAUGGGUCAGGUCCCUUCACGGAAUUAGGCGUCUCAUGUGGUCACUCUUCUUGCUUCAUUUGACUUUCUUCUUCUGUUUCCUUGAUUACUUCUUUGGACCAAAGUUCUGCUCGUGUUUGGAUGAGGCAUGGGGCAGACUUAGUUCCCUAUUUUCUACCCAUUGCCCCUUUCUUCUUGAGAGGAGGGUCAUGUUUUGUUCAGAGCAGCAGUAAGUCCAGACCCAGCUUGCAGAUCCUGAAAGGUCUCAGUGCUGUUCUCCAGUUUUCCUUAUGGCUGAGACAGUAUGUGAACCAGGCCUGUCUAAAAGGUCUGUUCCCAGACAUUCUGGGGGAACAUUUAUUCUUCUGGAUAAAGAUGUAACUGCAACACUCUCCCCUUGUUUCCUAUCUUGAAUUUGGAUGUGAUGGCUGGAGCUGCAGCUGCUGUUUUGUCAAAACCUCUGUCAAGAUGUAGUUGAUGUGUCGAAUCAGAACCUUCACCUGCCUUCUGCAGGGUGAUUUGUGUUAUGUGAGAAAAGGGAAUCCCUGUCAAAUUAAGGCACUGCAGAGACCUUUCCUAUACUUCAAGCUGAAUGUGUUCCUAAUGGAUAAAAGGACAUUUCCAAACCUCUUUCUCAUAUGCAAUCUACAGUUCUGAUCAUUAUUGGUAUUUUACUGACCCAACCCUUAAAGACGUGAGGACCUUUUAUUCUGUGCCAGGGGCAAUAUUGCUGUGCCCGUUUGAAAGAUGGUAAUGCAGAGGAGUGAAGAACAGAGAUUCGACAUUCAAACUUUCAGAGCAAACCCAAGAGCCCCGAGGCGCACACUGUGGCUUCCAUUCCGAGACCACGCGCUGUCCCCGGUUGGCAGAGCGCACCGUCACAUCCCGUAGGAGGAUGAAAGCCUGUCUCGAUGCUGCCAGAACCUCAGAUGGUGGUUCCAGAGAGUCUGAGGGCUGAAACCCAGCACUUAAGACUUCCAGGCUGUUCUUCUGGCUUGGAAACUUAUGCCGCAGCUUCGAGAUUCUGGAAUCCGUCGUCGCACAGAGACGUCCAGCUGUCUGCAGGAGCUGCUGUGUCUCCAGGAGGUGGCCACGCUCCGAGCCCCUCAUGGGUCCUGAGUCCUGCUGGGGCAGGGACAUCUGACCGGUGGAGAGCAUCCUGAAGGGCAAGGUGGAGGAGGAAGGCCGACCAGGAGACGUCCAGACACUUGAUUCCCCAAGGAAACCACCAGGUCACCCGUUCCAAACGCCGGGCACAGCAGAGCUUUUUCUGACAAAGUGGCUGCAGCGUCUGUCCCUCCUCCCAAGUCCAGCCUCUGACGCAGGCACAGCAUCGUUUCACUUAGUCAAAGCCAUUUUAACUCAAUUUGGUUGGCUAAAAAUAUCUUGGUCCAAAACCUAAUCCCAACAUCAGAAGACACUUUAUUUUCAGAUUUGUGAUUUCCUUUUUUUUUUUUUCCUUCAAAGACUUUACUUGUGUCAUAGUUCAAUGAAGAUGGGUCAUUCCCUUUCUAUUUUUUUUUUACUAUUUCUAUAAGUUCCCUGUCCCUUAGAGUCGAUUAAAAAAUUCUAAAAAAAGGUAAUACUUCUAUAGUCUUGGCCAUAUGCUAGGCACACGUAUUAACUCACUUAAGUCUCACAACACGUUUGGGGUAAGUACUAUUAUUUAGCCCCAUUUUACAGAGCAGGAAACUGAGCACAGAGAGGGUAACCAACAUACCUGAGGGCAUUCAGCAAGCCAGUGGCAAGGCAAGCAGUCUGACGGCAGCUGAUGAGAAUCAUAUAGUAUUGAUAGCCAGCAUUUCUGAGUACUUAGCUCACAUCAGACUGUCCAGGGAGGCUUCUGCAUGCAGCACCUUCUUUAAUCACCCCCAUAACCUGUGGGGUGCUAAUGAUCAUCGUCACCAUUUCACAGAUGAGGGACUUGAGGCUCGGCCACCUCCUUGAGCGGGUCCCUGAUUUAAUAAAACGCAGACACUUUCCAGCGGGAACGCCCUCUGCCCUGUGCCCUCCACACGCCCUGCUUUGCUAGGCACCACUGCCCGCUGCCCUCCCUGCAGACCCCUCCAGGGUCUGAAUCAGAUGCUCCCAGCUUGGUUCCUUCAUCACCCCAAACUACAACAGCCACCUUCCUUAUCCGUCUCCCCCACCAGCUCAGGAGCUCACUAGACGGCAUAUAUUUUUAGUGACACAAGUGUUAGAAACACCAAGAAUCAUAAAACAAGAAAAAAAUAAAAAUAAAAAAACCCACCCUGCAUCCCUGGAGACAUCUGGGUGUCCCUGGUUUAUAUUUUCAGACACAGAUGUGUCACAGAGAGAUAAAACACAGACGGACGGACCUCAGGGUCUAAGCGUGCGAUUCCGUGGUGUUCAGUUCCCAGAACGGAGCCCACGCCGUCUCCAGAACUUCUCCAUCACAGCCCACGGGGAUCUGGGUCCACUCCCUAAAGAAGGGUCAAAGGAGACCAGCGGCAGGAAAAUGAGUGGGGCUGGAGGGCGCUGUGUUAAGGGACACGCGACCGACUCAGAA
Ictidomys tridecemlineatus (thirteen-lined ground squirrel) is the source of this 4912-nucleotide long non-coding RNA. RefSeq lists it as uncharacterized. NCBI's taxonomy places the organism in Eukaryota, Metazoa, Chordata, Mammalia, Rodentia, Sciuridae. The record is from RefSeq and is a predicted model, not a curated record.